GACGAACGCUGGCGGCGUGCUUAACACAUGCAAGUCGAACGAAGAGCGACGGAAGCUUGCUUCUAUCAAUCUUAGUGGCGAACGGGUGAGUAACGCGUAAUCAACCUGCCCUUCAGAGGGGGACAACAGUUGGAAACGACUGCUAAUACCGCAUACGAUCUAAUCUCGGCAUCGAGGAUGGAUGAAAGGUGGCCUCUACAUGUAAGCUAUCACUGAAGGAGGGGAGUGCGUCUGAUUAGCUAGUUGGAGGGGUAACGGCCCACCAAGGCGAUGAUCAGUAGCCGGUCUGAGAGGAUGAACGGCCACAUUGGGACUGAGACACGGCCCAGACUCCUACGGGAGGCAGCAGUGGGGAAUCUUCCGCAAUGGACGAAAGUCUGACGGAGCAACGCCGCGUGAGUGAUGACGGCCUUCGGGUUGUAAAGCUCUGUUAAUCGGGACGAAAGGCCUUCUUGCGAAUAGUGGGAAGGAUUGACGGUACCGGAAUAGAAAGCCACGGCUAACUACGUG
RNAcentral lists this ribosomal RNA (510 nucleotides) under uncultured bacterium. RNAcentral's name for it is "partial 16S ribosomal RNA". It matches the Rfam family "Bacterial small subunit ribosomal RNA", at positions 28 to 507 of the family's 1533-position model. The record is from RNAcentral.